The sequence is a ribosomal RNA, 575 nucleotides long. It matches the Rfam family "Bacterial large subunit ribosomal RNA", at positions 1817 to 2597 of the family's 2925-position model.
AGCCUUCAGCAAACCAAUAUACAAGUAUUGAAGGUGAUGCCUGCCCGGUGACUCAAUGUUUAACGGCCGCGGUAUCCUAACCGUGCAAAGGUAGCGCAAUCAAUUGUCCCAUAAAUCGGGACCAGUAUGAAUGGCUAAACGAGGUUCUAACUGUCUCUUACAGGUAAUCAGUGAAAUUGAUCUCCCUGUGCAAAAGCAGGGAUAACCACAUAAGACGAGAAGACCCUGUGGAACUUUAAAAACAGCAACCACCCCAAAAUACAUACACCCCCACCCCGGGCUUACUUAAUCACACGGGCGAUUGGUCUGCAUUUUUUCGGUUGGGGCGACCUUGGAGCAAAACAAAACCUCCAAACAUUGGACCAUUCCUCUAGACUAAGAGCAACUUCUCGACGUGCUAAUAGCAACCAGACCCAAUAUCAUUGAUCAAUGGACCAAGCUACCCCAGGGAUAACAGCGCAAUCUCCUUCGAGAGUCCAUAUCGACAAGGAGGUUUACGACCUCGAUGUUGGAUCAGGACAUCCUAGUGGUGCAGCAGCUACUAAGGGUUCGUUAGUUCAACGAUUAACAGUCCU